This 68-nucleotide transfer RNA is filed under the name Megacopta caliginosa. RNAcentral describes it as "tRNA-Pro". The record is from RNAcentral. Lineage: Eukaryota; Metazoa; Arthropoda; Insecta; Hemiptera; Plataspidae.
CAGUAAAUAGUUUAUAAAAAUGUUAAUUUUGGAGAUUAAUGAUAGGCAUGAAUUGUGCUUUUUACUGA